CCCUGAGUGGUAUAAAACGUUAAUGCACUCAGCUGCUAACUGAAAGGUUGGUGGUUCAAGUUCACCCAGAGGAG
RNAcentral lists this transfer RNA (74 nucleotides) under Loxodonta africana (African savanna elephant). It matches the Rfam family "tRNA". Rfam says of the family: Transfer RNA (tRNA) molecules are approximately 80 nucleotides in length. Their secondary structure includes four short double-helical elements and three loops (D, anti-codon, and T loops). The record is from Rfam by way of RNAcentral. Lineage: Eukaryota; Metazoa; Chordata; Mammalia; Proboscidea; Elephantidae.